This 642-nucleotide ribosomal RNA is filed under the name uncultured bacterium. RNAcentral describes it as "bacterial SSU rRNA". It matches the Rfam family "Bacterial small subunit ribosomal RNA", at positions 28 to 649 of the family's 1533-position model. The record is from RNAcentral.
AAUCAACGCUGGCGGCGUGCCUAACACAUGCAAGUCGAACGUGAAAGUUCCUUCGGGGAUGAGUAAAGUGGCGUCCGGGUGAGUAACACGUGGGUAAUCUACCUUCGGGUGGGAAAUAACGGAUCGAAAGAUUCGCUAAUACCGCAUAAUGCAGCGGCACCUAAUGGUGAAUAGUUGUUAAAGCGGGGGAUCUUCGGACCUCGCGCCUGAAGAGGAGCCUGCGGCAGAUUAGCUUGUUGGUGAGGUAAUGGCUCACCAAGGCUGCGAUCUGUAGCUGGUCUGAGAGGACGGCCAGCCACACUGGCACUGACACACGGGCCAGACUCCUACGGGAGGCAGCAGUGGGGAAUUUUGGGCAAUGGGCGAAAGCCUGACCCAGCAACGCCGCGUGAGGGAGGAAAUCCUUCGGGAUGUAAACCUCAUAAGUAAAGAAAGAAUGCUUCCGGUCUAAUACACGGGAAAGCCGACGGUACUUUACAUAAGCCACGGCUAACUACGUGCCAGCAGCCGCGGUAAUACGUAGGUGGCAAGCGUUGUUCGGAAUUAUUGGGCGUAAAGGGCGCGUAGGCGGUUGGUUAAGUCAGCUGUGAAAGCCCGGGGCUCAACCCCGGAGGGUCGGCUGAUACUGGCUAACUAGAGUAC